CCUGGUAGCUCAGAUGGUAAAGUGUCUGCCUGCAAUGCAGAAGACCUGGGUUUGAUCCCUGGGUCAGGA
Molecule: transfer RNA, 69 nt
Filed under: Bos taurus (domestic cattle)
Lineage: Eukaryota; Metazoa; Chordata; Mammalia; Artiodactyla; Bovidae
Rfam family: tRNA
About the family: Transfer RNA (tRNA) molecules are approximately 80 nucleotides in length. Their secondary structure includes four short double-helical elements and three loops (D, anti-codon, and T loops).
Source: Rfam by way of RNAcentral